This 301-nucleotide ribosomal RNA is filed under the name uncultured bacterium. RNAcentral's name for it is "partial 16S ribosomal RNA". It matches the Rfam family "Bacterial small subunit ribosomal RNA", at positions 509 to 807 of the family's 1533-position model. The record is from RNAcentral.
CAGCAGCCGCGGGAAUACGUAGGGUGCAAGCGUUAAUCGGAAUUACUGGGCGUAAAGCGUGCGCAGGCGGUUAUAUAAGUCAGAUGUGAAAUCCCCGGGCUCAACCUGGGAACUGCAUUUGAGACUGUAUGGCUAGAGUGUGUCAGAGGGGGGUAGAAUUCCACGUGUAGCAGUGAAAUGCGUAGAUAUGUGGAGGAAUACCGAUGGCGAAGGCAGCCCCCUGGGAUAACACUGACGCUCAUGCACGAAAGCGUGGGGAGCGAACAGGAUUAGAGACCCGCGUAGUCCCUGUCUCUUAUAC